RNAcentral lists this ribosomal RNA (422 nucleotides) under uncultured bacterium. RNAcentral describes it as "bacterial SSU rRNA". It matches the Rfam family "Bacterial small subunit ribosomal RNA", at positions 355 to 774 of the family's 1533-position model. The record is from RNAcentral.
UAAGGAAUAUUGGACAAUGGAGGCAACUCUGAUCCAGCCAUGCCGCGUGAAGGAAUAAGGCCCUAUGGGUUGUAAACUUCUUUUAGACGGGACAAAACCCCUUUACGUGUAAAGGGUUGAUGGUACUGUCAGAAUAAGCAUCGGCUAACUUCGUGCCAGCAGCCGCGGUAAUACGAAGGAUGCAAGCGUUAUCCGGAAUUAUUGGGUUUAAAGGGUGCGUAGGCGGACUAAUAAGUCAGUGGUGAAAGCCUGCAGCUUAACUGCAGAAUUGCCAUUGAUACUGUUAGUCUUGAGUACAGUUGAGGUAGGCGGAAUGUGUCAUGUAGCGGUGAAAUGCUUAGAUAUGACAUAGAACACCAAUUGCGAAGGCAGCUUACUACACAAUCAUUGACACUGAGGCACGAAAGCGUGGGUAGCGAACA